AGGUUGUUAGGAUUUCUUUGACAAGUUCUUUUAGCUUGACAGAUUUAGGAUUAAGACAACCUAGGUUAGAAGUGGAAGAAUAUCUAUCAAUUGUUGAUGAGUUCAUGGAAGCAGUUUUCACAGGUUGGCCUAAGGCUAUUGUACAGGUUUAUUUCUUUCACAAGUGAGAAUUUUGUGUUAUGCUUGGUUUAUAUCAUGUUGUUUAUUUGAUGGUUACACCAUUCAGUUUGAGGAUUUUCAAAUGAAAGGGACCUUUGAAACUCUGGAACACAAUCGGAAAAGGUUUUGCAUGUUUAAUGAUGAUAAAAGGAGAACUUCUGGAGUUACACUUGCUGGAUUGUUAGAAACUGUAAGAGCACAAGGUUGAUCAUUGGCUGACUUUCCAAACCAAAAGAUAGUUGUGGUGGGAGCUGGAAGUGCAGGGCUUGGUGUUCUUAGCAUGGCUGUGCAAGCUGUUGCGAGGAUGACAGGAAAACCCAAAAUAGCUGCACACAACUUUUUCCUACUUGAUAAAAUCAGCACCACCUUUUGCUAAAGAUCCAGGACAGAAAGUGGGACUUAGAGAGGGGGCUUCUCUACUUGAAGUGAAGAUGCAUAGGCUUGGAAUUACACGAUUAGUCGUUGUUGGGAUCCCUCCCUUGGGCUGCAUGCCCUUUUUCAAGACUCUAACGGAAAUAUGUUGUUAGGAUGCUGUGAACAACCCCGAAAAAUAAGGUUUGGCUGAAACUUCCAAAGGAUGUCGUGGAACGGGGACAGUAGAAUAUGGAGAUACAUGCAAAGGCAUGAGCACAUGCGCUGAUGCAUCAAAAUAUGAAUUCUGGGAUACUGUUCAUCCAACAGAAAAAAUGUAUGAAAUAGUCUUUGACCAGGCCAUAGAUUCUCUCCGAGAACAGCUGAUAGGCUAGCUAGCUGGGAUUUUAGAUAGAUCGAGAAAGUAAUUAACUAUGCUUUCACUAAGGUCUGAGUAGUUACAAGAAAAUGUUUGGUUAGACGUUUCAGUUUGUAUCGUUUGGUUAA
Non-coding RNA from Durio zibethinus, 1017 nucleotides. The record is from RefSeq and is a predicted model, not a curated record. NCBI's taxonomy places the organism in Eukaryota, Viridiplantae, Streptophyta, Magnoliopsida, Malvales, Malvaceae.